UGGCCUACGGGGCGCAGCAGUGAGGAAUAUUGGUCAAUGGGAGGAAUCCUGAACCAGCCAUGCCGCGUGCAGGACGACGGCUCUACGAGUUGUAAACUGCUUUUGUACCGGGGUAAAAUGCCUUACGAGUAGGGUUUUGAAAGUACGGUACGAAUAAGGAUCGGCUAACUCCGUGCCAGCAGCCGCGGUAAUACGGAGGAUCCGAGCGUUAUCCGGAUUCACUGGGUGUAAAGGGAGCGUAGACGGCCAUGCAAGCCUGGAGUGAAAGCCCGGGGCCCAACCCCGGGACUGCUCUGGGAACUGUG
Molecule: ribosomal RNA, 305 nt
Filed under: uncultured bacterium
Lineage: Bacteria
Description: bacterial SSU rRNA
Rfam family: Bacterial small subunit ribosomal RNA
Source: RNAcentral